Molecule: ribosomal RNA, 1409 nt
Filed under: uncultured prokaryote
Description: partial 16S ribosomal RNA
Rfam family: Bacterial small subunit ribosomal RNA
Source: RNAcentral
GUUUUAAGCAUGCAAGUCGAGCGGCAGCACUUCGGGUGGCGAGCGGCGAACGGGUGAGUAACACGUAGGUUAUCUGCCUUGUAGACUGGGAUAGCCACUGGAAACAGUGAUUAAUACCGGAUAUUGUCCUUCGGGAUGAAAGCUGCGUUUGCAGCACUACAAGAUGAGCCUGCGUCCUAUUAGCUUGUUGGCGGGGUAACGGCCUACCAAGGCGACGAUAGGUAGCCGGCCUGAGAGGGUGAUCGGCCACAUUGGGACUGAGAUACGGCCCAGACUCCUACGGGAGGCAGCAGCUAAGAAUAUUCCGCAAUGGGCGCAAGCCUGACGGAGCAAUGUCGCGUGUGUGAUGAAGGCUUUCGAGUUGUAAAGCACUUUCAGCAGGGAAGAAUUACGUACUGUGAAAACAGUACUGGUUGACGGUACCUGCAGAAGAAGUACCGGCUAAUUACGUGCCAGCAGCCGCGGUAAUACGUAGGGUGCAAACGUUGUUCGGAAUCACUGGGCGUAAAGGGUGUGUAGGCGGCCUAUUAAGUUAGUGGUGAAAACUUGCGGCUUAACUGCAAGCCUGCCAUUAAUACUGAUUGGCUUGAGUCGUUUAUAGAGGUAGCGGGAAUUCCUAGUGUAGGAGUGAAAUCUGUAGAUAUUAGAAGGAACACCAAUGGCGUAGGCAAGCUACUGGGUAAUGACUGACGCUCAUGUACGAAAGCCAGGGGAGCGAAUGGGAUUAGAGACCCCAGUAGUCCUGGCCGUAAACGCUGCAUACUAGUUCUAUGGGAAUCUUUUUUUCCGUGGAACGUAGCUAACGCGUUAAGUAUGCCGCCUGGGGAGUAUGCACGCAAGUGUGAAACUCAAAGGAAUUGACGGGGGCUCGCACAAGCGGUGGAGCAUGUGGUUUAAUUCGAUGAUACGCGAAAAACCUUACCUAGGCUUGAACGUGUAGUGACAUCCUGUGAAAGCAGGCUUCUCUUCGGAGCACUAUGCGAGGUGCUGCAUGGCUGUCGUCAGCUCGUGUUGUGAAAUGUUGGGUUAAGUCCCGCAACGAGCGCAACCCUUAUCCUAAGUUGCCAGCGAGUCAUGUCGGGUACUCUAGGGAGACUGCCGGUGUUAAGCCGGAGGAAGGUGGGGAUGACGUCAAGUCCUCAUGGCCUUUAUGUCCAGGGCUACUCACGUGCUACAAUGGCCGGUACAGAGAGUCGCGAUCCCGCGAGGGCAAGCUAAUCUCAAAAAAGCCGGUCUCAGUUCGGAUUGGAGUCUGCAAUUCGACUCCAUGAAGUAGGAAUCGCUAGUAAUCGCGGAUCAGCAUGCCGCGGUGAAUACGUUCCCGGGCCUUGUACACACCGCCCGUCACACCACGAAAGCUGCUUGAACCAGAAGUCCGCAAACCAACCGCAAGGAGGGAGCGGCCCAAG